AUAUAUAUAUAUCGACUUUCACUAUAUAUAUAUCAACUUUCAUUAUAUAUAUAUCAAGUUUCAUUAUAUAUAUAUAUCAACUUUCAUUAUAUAUAUAUCAAGUUUCAUUAUAUAUAUAUCGACUUUCAUUAUAUAUAUAUAUCAACUUUCAUUAUAUAUAUAUCAAAUCUUUUUUUCCUACCGAGCCCCGGAAGGGACAUGUCCGUAUGGCGAAGCGACAACGAAGGACACUCACCCGGACGAGAAUUUUAUUGAGUUUUAUUUUAAAAUCGGCCUGAAACACACAGACAUUCAAGCAGUGCGAUGCGCUAAGAGUCUGCCAUGCAGACCAGCGAUCCUGAUAAUGUUGUCGGCCUUGGAUGAUGAGGUCCAGUUACCAGGAGCACUAGUCUGCAGCUUACUGGUUCCGUCUUGCAGCUCCUCCACGCUGUCCUCCUCUCUACAGACCAAAUCAAGAAAAGGGAACCAGGAAGCUGCUGUGGAUCCUCUGCAGUAUCUGGAGAGGUCAGAGGAACGUUUCUUGGAACAGAUUGGAAGACACCAAGACGUGACCUCUGCCAUGCUCCAGAACAUCCAGAAGAUGAAUGAAAACCUUGGUUGCACUGAUGGGACGCAUGGUGUCGGUGCUGGAGCAACUGUCCCAGAAUUAAACUGCAUUGUUGACUAUUGGCUUUUCUAGAAAAUAAAUCUUUUUUAGUACUUCA
Acanthochromis polyacanthus (spiny chromis) is the source of this 704-nucleotide long non-coding RNA. RefSeq lists it as uncharacterized. Lineage: Eukaryota; Metazoa; Chordata; Actinopteri; Pomacentridae. The record is from RefSeq and is a predicted model, not a curated record. The transcript has 3 exons.